UGGGGAAUUUUGGACAAUGGGCGCAAGCCUGAUCCAGCCAUGCCGCGUGUGUGAAGAAGGCCUUCGGGUUGUAAAGCACUUUCGGACGGAACGAAAUCGCGCGCAUGAACAAUGCGCGUGGAUGACGGUACCGUAAGAAGAAGCACCGGCUAACUACGUGCCAGCAGCCGCGGUAAUACGUAGGGUGCAAGCGUUAAUCGGAAUUACUGGGCGUAAAGGGUGCGCAGGCGGCCCCGCAUGUCAGGCGUGAAAUCCCCGGGCUCAACUUGGGAAUGGCGCUUGAAACUACGGGGCUGGAGUGUGGCAGAGGGAGGUGGAAUUCCACGUGUAGCGGUGAAAUGCGUAGAGAUGUGGAGGAACACCGAUGGCGAAGGCAGCCUCCUGGGCCAACACUGACGCUCAUGCACGAAAGCGUGGGGAGCAA
RNAcentral lists this ribosomal RNA (424 nucleotides) under uncultured bacterium. RNAcentral describes it as "bacterial SSU rRNA". It matches the Rfam family "Bacterial small subunit ribosomal RNA", at positions 355 to 771 of the family's 1533-position model. The record is from RNAcentral.